GGAGUUUGGACCGUCUCUCAGUUCCAAUGUGGCCGAUCACCCUCUCAGGUCGGCUACCGAUCGUCGACUUGGUGGGCCGUUACCUCACCAACUAUCUAAUCGGACGCGAGCUCACCCCAAACCGGUUUGCAUCUUUUACCUCAGUACCAUGCGGUACCGUGGUCUUAUGCGGUAUUAUCAGCCGUUUCCAGCUGCUGUCCCCCUGUAUGGGCCAGGUUCUCCACGCGUUACUCACCCGUCCGCCACUAAGUUUCAUCUUCCGUCUCCGAAGAUCCUUCCGAUAAAACUCCGUUCGACUUGCAUGUGUUAGGCACGCCGCCAGCGUUCAUC
This 330-nucleotide ribosomal RNA is filed under the name uncultured Coriobacteriales bacterium. RNAcentral's name for it is "partial 16S ribosomal RNA". The record is from RNAcentral. Lineage: Bacteria; Bacillati; Actinomycetota; Coriobacteriia; Coriobacteriales.